RNAcentral lists this ribosomal RNA (301 nucleotides) under uncultured bacterium. RNAcentral describes it as "partial 16S ribosomal RNA". It matches the Rfam family "Bacterial small subunit ribosomal RNA", at positions 509 to 807 of the family's 1533-position model. The record is from RNAcentral.
CAGCAGCCACGGGAACACGUAGGGUGCAAGCGUUAAUCGGAAUUACUGGGCGUAAAGCGUGCGCAGGCGGUUUUGUAAGACAGAGGUGAAAUCCCCGGGCUCAACCUGGGAACUGCCUUUGUGACUGCAAGGCUAGAGUACGGCAGAGGGGGAUGGAAUUCCGCGUGUAGCAGUGAAAUGCGUAGAUAUGCGGAGGAACACCGAUGGCGAAGGCAAUCCCCUGGGCCUGUACUGACGCUCAUGCACGAAAGCGUGGGGAGCAAACAGGAUUAGAUACCCCUGUAGUCCCUGUCUCUUAUAC